Molecule: ribosomal RNA, 253 nt
Filed under: uncultured bacterium
Lineage: Bacteria
Description: partial 16S ribosomal RNA
Rfam family: Bacterial small subunit ribosomal RNA
Source: RNAcentral
GACGUAGGGCGCGAGGGUUGUCCGGAUUUAUUGGGCGUAAAGAGCUCGUAGGCGGCUUGUCGCGUCGUCCGUGAAAACUUGGGGCUCAACCCCAAGCUUGCGGUCGAUACGGGCAGGCUAGAGUUCGGUAGGGGAGACUGGAAUUCCUGGUGUAGCGGUGAAAUGCGCAGAUAUCAGGAGGAACACCGGUGGCGAAGGCGGGUCUCUGGGCCGAUACUGACGCUGAGGAGCGAAAGCGUGGGGAGCGAACAGG